Molecule: long non-coding RNA, 1624 nt
Filed under: Homo sapiens (human)
Lineage: Eukaryota; Metazoa; Chordata; Mammalia; Primates; Hominidae
Description: non-protein coding lnc-MAGEB5-4:1
Source: RNAcentral
GUUUGAGGGCAAACACUGUUGGAGAAGCUAUUCAGCAGCAGGAGAAGGGGCCUCCAGAAGAAGCAGAGAAGUUUUGCUCAGGGAUCAUUGCCAUGGCUCUUCUCCUUUCUUUUAGUGAUUGCUUCAGGGAACCAUGUAAUCAGAAUGUCCAGAUGAGUGCAGCUUCGUUUGAUGUUUUGAACAAAACUUUGUACAGAAGCUUAUAUCAAUAUACAAAGAUCAUGGAUGCUUGUAGAUACAAUGAACCACAAAUGAAAAUUUGAGGUCAGCCAUCCAUCAUUAGAGGCAAAAUCGAUACAGGCUUCCUGGACAGAAUAGGUCGGGUUACUGACACUGCCUCCUGGGGAUGCACUGCUGGGGGGUCCUCCAUGCCCCCCCUGGGGCUGAAAGUGGACCUCAGACAAAAUUUUGUUCAGAGAUUUCAUUGACUGUGUCUCCAAAGCAAGUAUCAGUCCAGCUCGACAGCCAUCAGCCCACGCAGAGCAUCUCACAGCCUCCACCACCCCCAUCCCUUCUGUGGUCUGAUGGUCAAGGACAGCCUGGGUCACAGCUGCCCCAUACUUCUCUCUCUACUGAGUUUCACACCAGCCACGAACACUCUGUUUUCUCUACUUUGAAAACAGCUGUAACAACCCAUCCCCACCACCUCUGCCUUGCACAGAGUCUUCCAGCUCCAUGCCUGGCCUGCGCAUAGUGCCUCCCCCACCUCCCCUUCUCCCUGGCAUGACAGUGCUUACUCUGCCCAGUACAGCCAUUCCCCUACCUCCUCCUCUGCUAGGUACAGAAAUGCUGCCAUCCCCUCCCCCUCCUCUACCCAGAGUGGGAAUACCUCCUCUGCCCCCUCUACCCAGAGUGGGAAUACCUCCCCGCCCCCACUCCCCAGAGUGGGCAUACCGCCUCCUCCCCUUCUUCCCGGAGCUGGAAUACCCUCUCUGCCCCCUGUACCCGGAGUGGGAAUACCCCUUCCACCCCCUCUACCUGAAGCAGGAAUACCUCCUCCACCCCAACUUCCUGGAGCAGGAAUACCUCCUCCGCCCCCUCUACCCAGAGUGGGAAUACAUCCUCCACCCACUCUACCCCCUCUACCUGGAGUGGGAAUACCCCCUCCACCCCCUCUACCUGAAGUGGGAAUACCUCCUCUGCCCCCUCUACCUGGUGCUGGGAUUCCCCCACCUCUUCCCUUGCCAGGUAUGGGGAUUCCACCUGCUCCAGCUCCCCCUCCCAUUUCACCUGAGAGAGGAAUCCCCCCACCCACUCUGCUUCUUCCAUCAGGCCCUCCACUCCUCCCACAAGUUGGGAGGAGCAUUUUACUAACACCACAGGUGUGUGGGUUUCUUCCUCCUCCAUUGACAAAUGGCUUGUUUGGAUUAGGGAUGAAUCAGGACAAAGGGAGUAGGAAGCAGCCCAUAGAGCCUUGUCGACCAGUGAAGCCUCUUUACUAGACAAGAAUUCAACUACAUAGUAAAAGAGACUCCAGUGCUUCACUUAUUUGGGAAAAAAAAUUGAAGAGCCAUCUAUAGAUUGUCAUGAAUUUGAGGAAUUGUUUUCUAAAACUGCUGUAAAGGAGAGAAAGAAACCUAUCUCUGAUACCAUCUCAAAGUUGACAGCUAAACAAUGCUAAAAG